CUGACUGUGGUAAGGUAGCAUAAUAACUAGUUGUUUAAUUGACAUCUGGAAUGAAGGACCUGACGAAAAAUUUAUCUUCUUUUUAAAAAUUGAAAUUAAUUAAUAUAUAAAAAAGUCUAUAUAAAUUAAGAGGACGAGAAGACCCUAAAACCUUUUCAUAGGAAAACCUUUAGCCUUUGUUCACUGGGGAGGUGAAUUAUAAUAACAUGAUUUUUUAAAACAAAAUGAAUGAUAAAAAAUAAAUAAAACUUUAUGCAGAAAGGUACUUUAGGGAUAACAGCAUAACUUUUAUUUAAAGACCUCAUUGACAUAAAAAUUUGUGACCUCGAUGUUGAAUUGAUAAAACACUAUUAAGCAACAAUAAUAGAAGU
Molecule: ribosomal RNA, 371 nt
Filed under: Uramba triangulifera
Lineage: Eukaryota; Metazoa; Arthropoda; Malacostraca; Isopoda; Porcellionidae
Description: partial 16S ribosomal RNA
Source: RNAcentral